UGGGGAAUAUUGGACAAUGGGCGAAAGCCUGAUCCAGCCAUGCCGCGUGUGUGAAGAAGGUCUUCGGAUUGUAAAGCACUUUAAGUUGGGAGGAAGGGCAUUAACCUAAUACGUUAGUGUUUUGACGUUACCGACAGAAUAAGCACCGGCUAACUCUGUUCCAGCAGCCGCGGUAAUACAGAGGGUGCAAGCGUUAAUCGGAAUUACUGGGCGUAAAGCGCGCGUAGGUGGUUUGUUAAGUUGGAUGUGAAAUCCCCGGGCUCAACCUGGGAACUGCAUUCAAAACUGACUGACUAGAGUAUGGUAGAGGGUGGUGGAAUUUCCUGUGUAGCGGUGAAAUGCGUAGAUAUAGGAAGGAACACCAGUGGCGAAGGCGACCACCUGGACUAAUACUGACACUGAGGUGCGAAAGCGUGGGGAGCAAACA
This 427-nucleotide ribosomal RNA is filed under the name uncultured bacterium. Its description in RNAcentral is "partial 16S ribosomal RNA". It matches the Rfam family "Bacterial small subunit ribosomal RNA", at positions 355 to 774 of the family's 1533-position model. The record is from RNAcentral.